UUUUAAUACGACAUAAUAUUCGAAAACAAAACAAAUGUAUUAUUAAAGCGACAAGGACAUGAAGAAAUGAGACGUGUAUUCCAUUUCAGUUCUCGUGUGACCGUCCGCCGGAGAAGAUAAGCACCCAUUGCUGCCGUAAGCUUAAAUGUAUCUACUUUUUUUGGCAAGAUAACGUUUUGACACUCGAAGGCCCUUUCGGAAAAUGGAGAAAAUCGAUAAACGACCGACAGACUCGCGCGUAAACUCGCGUAAAAGGAGAAAGGAAGUAAAACAGAGACAGAAGAAACAGAAAGAAGAGAGAAAAAAAAAAGAAGGAACAAUUAUCUAAUAAUAAAACAUGGCGGCAAAUUGAUCAAGGUCGUAUUACUUAGUCUCGAUGUACGAGGCUCAAUUUCCAAGGACAUGCGAUAAAGAUCCUUUUCAUUUAGGAGCAACGACG
Vespa mandarinia (Asian giant hornet) is the source of this 439-nucleotide long non-coding RNA. NCBI's taxonomy places the organism in Eukaryota, Metazoa, Arthropoda, Insecta, Hymenoptera, Vespidae. The record is from RefSeq and is a predicted model, not a curated record.